AGCUAUGCGCAGCGGCGAUAUCGUACCCAAUGAGGAAGAUCCGAGGUGGGAUUAUUGCUAAUUGAAGAAAUGCAAGCCAACGGCAGUCCUACGUCAACCUUGCGGUUAUAUCAUAGGUAUAACCCAUCCAUGGUUUUUUUUAAUAAUA
Toxorhynchites rutilus septentrionalis is the source of this 148-nucleotide small nuclear RNA. RefSeq annotates it as U4 spliceosomal RNA. The transcript has a single exon. The record is from RefSeq and is a predicted model, not a curated record. Lineage: Eukaryota; Metazoa; Arthropoda; Insecta; Diptera; Culicidae.